GGGAUGCGACGAUGGCGUGCGGUGCGAACGCGGAGGAAAUCCGGUGCGAAUCCGGUGCGGUCCCGCCACUGUCACCAGGUGCCGAACCUGGGAGCCAGACACUCCGCUCGCACACGGGUACGCG
RNAcentral lists this non-coding RNA (124 nucleotides) under Kibdelosporangium phytohabitans. The record is from RNAcentral. Lineage: Bacteria; Bacillati; Actinomycetota; Actinomycetes; Pseudonocardiales; Pseudonocardiaceae.